ACUAGCAGGCCAUGAGAGGGAAGGAGGGAGGGAAGGUAAGGGACCACGGCCAGCCAGGCGCUGAGGCAGGCAGGUUCCCAUUGGAAAUUCACGGGACCGGUGGUGGCUCCCUCUUCUAAAUCCACGCAGUCACAUCAGCCUCUGGUGACAUGGCAGCUGGACCCGGAGUACUGCUGGGUAUGGAGUCCGUUUCAAUCCUUGUCUUUGCAUCUCUUGCGUCAGAAAGAAAGAGCUGUUUCCUGCUUUCAGGCAUGAAAUGGGUGGCAACGCAGCUGGCGGUGUUAAUAAUCCUUCACGUUGUCUUCCACUGGUGCCACGCAGGAAUUACAAGCAUAAACUGUUCUGGCCGCCUGUGGGUAGAACCGGCUGCGGUUUUUCAGAUGGGCACAAACAUCUCCGUGUACUGCCGAGCCUCGGGCAAGAACUGCCAGCCCAGGAUGCUUUAUCUGCACACAAACGGCGUGGCAGAGAGGUUUCUCCUGUCCAGGGUGAACAGGACGACAGCUCGACACAGGUUCCAGAACUUUCUGGCACCUCGGGCCUCCAUGUACUGCACUGCAAAGUGUCCAGGACGCCCAGGGGAAACGUUGGUGUGUGGCCAGGACAUCACCUCUGGAUAUCCCCCGGACGCCCCCCAGGCGCUGACCUGCGUCCUCCACGAGCGCUCGGGCCCCAUGUCAUGCAGCUGGAUGGCUGGCAGGCACACCCACAUGGCCACAGAGUACGUGGUGCACGUGCAGAGGUGGGUGACCUGUCCUUCCCAGGCCUCAGGCUCCCCUGGAGGGCCCUGCCCUCUCCGUGCCCUUGGUUGACCGCAGUUCACCGGGAGCCCUUGGGCCCAGCUCAGCCCCUUCUCCGGCCCCAAAACUGCCCAGUCCCGGCAGGGUUUGUCUGCGUUCAUUAAAGGUUUAGACUUUUAAGGUGCACUCCACAGUGCGGGCUACCUCCCCCCUCCCUUCCUCAGUC
RNAcentral lists this long non-coding RNA (966 nucleotides) under Cavia porcellus (domestic guinea pig). RNAcentral's name for it is "lncRNA (ENSCPOG00000038734.1)". Lineage: Eukaryota; Metazoa; Chordata; Mammalia; Rodentia; Caviidae. The record is from RNAcentral.